CCCUAAUUUUUAUUAAUAAUCCCUUCACUUUAGAGUAAUUCAAAUAAGGUACAGCCUAUUUGACUAAGGACUCAACCUUUACAAACGGGUAACAACUAAUUCACACCCCUAAGUGGGCCUAAGAGCAGCCAUCUUAUUAAAAGCGUUAAAGCUUAGCCGUGUUAAUCUUAAUCCCCCACCCUCUAUCGACCCCUUCUUCACUACUGAGAGCUUCUAUAAAAUAUAGAACCCUUAAUGCUAAAACUAGUAACAAGAGGAAAACCCCUCUCUACCAUGCAAACGUAAGCCAGAAAGAACCUCUCACUGGCACUUAACGAACACAAAUAGUAACUCUCAAGAAAAUCCUAUUUUACCAUCCGUUAACCUAACACAAGAGCAUACCAAGAAAGAUUAAAAGAAAAAGAAGGAACUCGGCAAACCUUAACUCCGCCUGUUUACCAAAAACAUCACCUCUUGCCCCCUAACCGUGCGAAGGUAGCGUAAUCACUUGUCCUCUAAAUAGGGACUAGUAUGAAAGGCUUCACGAGGGUUAGACUGUCUCCUCUUUCUAAUCAGUAAACCUAAUCUCCCCGUGAAGAAGCGGGGGUAAUUUUAUAAGACGAGAAGACCCCAUGGAGCUUUAAACACUCUUACACAUGCCACAUUUCAUACCCUAACCCUAUCAUGUGACAUGAUGUUUAAAUGUUUUAGGUUGGGGUGACCGCGGGGAACAACAUAUCCCCCGCGAUGGAUGGGGAUUUCCCCUAAACCAUAAGCCACAACUUUAAGUAUCAAAAACCUGACAUCCUUUGACCCAAUUAUUGAUCAACGAACCAAGUUACCCUGGGGAUAACAGCGCAAUCCACCUCGAGAGCCCUUAUCGACAGGUGGGCUUACGACCUCGAUGUUGGAUCRGGGUAUCCUGGUGGUGUAGCCGCUACUAAGGGUUCGUUUGUUCAACGAUUAAAACCCCACGUGAUCUGAGUUCAGACCGGAGUAAUCCAGGUCAGUUUCUAUCUAUAACAGAGCUUUUUUCAGUACGAAAGGACCAAAACAGCAUGGCCUAUAUAUCAACAAGCCAUAGUUAAUUAUUUUAGACUUACUCUUAAAAAAUUAUUAACCUUUACCGACCCUGUUAACGUAGCAUAUCCCGGUUUUGCAAAAGACCUAAGUCCUUUCAACAGAGGUUCAAAUCCUCUCGCUA
This 1183-nucleotide ribosomal RNA is filed under the name Pristimantis rubicundus. Its description in RNAcentral is "partial large subunit ribosomal RNA". The record is from RNAcentral. Lineage: Eukaryota; Metazoa; Chordata; Amphibia; Anura; Strabomantidae.